CCAAUUUUAGGAUAACUCCAGAUAACAGAGACAGGCUGGGCGUGACGAACUGACACAGCACAAAGAUCUGUGCUCACAGUCAGGGAACUUUAGCUUUAUUUCAACUUUAAUCUGAUUCAUUCAGGUUUGAAACUCAGGCUCUGUUAUUCACUGCAAAUACCAACACAGACUAAGAGUCGAAUCAAAACCACACGGCAGUCGGAUUAAAACUGCACCGUAACACCAACAUGUCUGCUGGGACUGCAGCGCUCUGCUCGAUUUUGCUGUUUGUCUUCGUGGCUGAGUCUGCAGACCCGAAAAACAUCACAGCUGAGUCUGGACAGAACGUCACUCUGACAUGUCGAGCUCCAAACAACAUCGACUAUGUAAAGUGGAGCAGAGCUGACCUGGGAGAUGAACAUGUUCUUUUGUACAGGGAUGAUAAUCUUGUUUCAGACAACCAGCAUCCAUCAUUUAAGAACCGGGUGGAUCUGCAGGACAGACAGAUGAAGGAUGGAGACGUGUCUUUGAUUCUGAAGGAUGUGAUGAUUAAUGACGCUGGAAUAUACGAGUGUCGUGUGAUGAGACAGGGAGAAGGUUUAAGUCUCAUCACAAGUGUCUACCUUCAUGUUGUUCCUCCAGGUCAGACAGGAGGAUCUGGUGGACUGAAAGCUGGUCUGGUAGUUCCUGCUGUGCUUCUUGUUGCUGCUACUGUUGUUGGUUUUUGAAAAGAAACACCAACAACAGCAGCAACAAGAAGAAAACAGUCUCGAGGUUCAAAUGAGCGUUCUGCUGAACAAGAGAGCAGACAACCUCUUCAGACUUAAGAUCAUCAACCAAUAAACAUCAUAGACGUCAAACACUCAGAGUUUGGAUGUCUUUCUCAUUUCUCUGAUGAUCAUCAUGUUCAGACUCAGACCAACAGUGUGUGUCUGUGCUGUCUGUCAGUGAACCUGAACUACAGUUUAUUCAUCUUCAUGUUGUUCAUGAGAUUUACUGACUCAAAGUCAAACUGUGUUACAAACAUAAAUGAAUUUAUAUGAUAUUAUCUCAGAAUAUAUGCAUGUUUUGUUUUUUAGCUUCUUGUUUGUAAGAAAAACUAAAGAUCAGCUGUUACAGUAUAAUUGUUGUUCUGUGAAUUAUAGACUAUUAAUAAUCUGGUUCAUUGUUCAGCUACAACCGCUUUGGUUGACAUUACUUAUUAUUCUCUUUUUGUAUAAAAUUUCAAAUGUUACAGCUUACAGAGGAAAAUUGUGUAAAAAACACAAAAACACAAAAACUACACAAAAAUUUGUGUAGUUACAGACUCAUAUUUCUUCUCUGAUCCUGAACCUUUCUAACCCCUUUCAUUUAACAUUUCCUCCAGUGAAUCUUUGUAAAUCCAAAUUUCUUCAUCUGUGUUAAUAAAGAUUUACAUUUAUACCUGC
This is a long non-coding RNA of Oreochromis niloticus (Nile tilapia), 1406 nucleotides long. RefSeq annotates it as programmed cell death 1 ligand 1. NCBI's taxonomy places the organism in Eukaryota, Metazoa, Chordata, Actinopteri, Cichliformes, Cichlidae. The record is from RefSeq and is a predicted model, not a curated record. The transcript has 3 exons.